RNAcentral lists this ribosomal RNA (589 nucleotides) under uncultured Pseudomonas sp. Its description in RNAcentral is "bacterial SSU rRNA". It matches the Rfam family "Bacterial small subunit ribosomal RNA", at positions 35 to 618 of the family's 1533-position model. The record is from RNAcentral. Lineage: Bacteria; Pseudomonadati; Pseudomonadota; Gammaproteobacteria; Pseudomonadales; Pseudomonadaceae.
GCUGGCGGCAGGGCCUAACACAUGCAAGUCGAGCGGUAGAGAAGUGCUAUGCACUUCUUGAGAGCGGCGGACGGGUGAGUAAUGCCUAGGAAUCUGCCUAGUGGUGGGGGAUAACGUUCGGAAACGGACGCUAAUACCGCAUACGUCCUACGGGAGAAAGCGGGGGACCUUCGGGCCUCGCGCCAUUAGAUGAGCCUAGGUCGGAUUAGCUAGUUGGUGAGGUAAAGGCUCACCAAGGCGACGAUCCGUAACUGGUCUGAGAGGAUGAUCAGUCACACUGGAACUGAGACACGGCCCAGACUCCUACGGGAGGCAGCAGUGGGGAAUUUUGGACAAUGGGGGCAACCCUGAUCCAGCCAUUCCGCGUGAGUGAAGAAGGCCUUCGGGUUGUAAAGCUCUUUCAGCAGGAACGAAACGGUACGCUCUAACAUAGCGUGCUAAUGACGGUACCUGCAGAAGAAGCACCGGCUAACUACGUGCCAGCAGCCGCGGUAAUACGUAGGGUGCGAGCGUUAAUCGGAAUUACUGGGCGUAAAGCGUGCGCAGGCGGAUUGUUAAGCAAGACGUGAAAUCCCCGGGCUUACCUGGG